UGAGCGGAGAUAUAUGGAGCUUGCUUUAUAUAACUUAGCAGCGAACGGGUGAGUAACACGUAGAUAAUCUAUCCUAUACUGGGGGAUAGCCCGAUGAAAGUUGGAUUAAUACCGCAUAUAGCUAUAUAGUUGCAUGAUUAUGUAGUGAAAGAUUUAUUGGUAUAGGAGGAGUCUGCGGCACAUUAGCUAGUAGGUGAGGUAAAGGCUUACCUAGGCGACGAUGUGUAGCCGGUCUGAGAGGAUGAACGGCCACAAUGGAACUGAGACACGGUCCAUACUCCUACGGGAGGCAGCAGUGGGGAAUAUUGCACAAUGGGGGAAACCCUGAUGCAGCAACGCCGCGUGAGUGAAGAAGGUUUUCGGAUUGUAAAGCUCUGUUAGCAGGGAAGAGGAAGGACGGUACCUGCAGAGGAAGCCACGGCUAACUACGUGCCAGCAGCCGCGGUAAUACGUAGGUGGCAAGCGUUGUUCGGAAUAACUGGGCGUAAAGGAUGCGUAGGCGGUUAAACAAGUUAUAUGUUAAAUAUAUAGGCUUAACCUGUAGAAAGCAUAUAAAACUGUUUAACUAGAGUGCAGGAGAGGUAAGUGGAAUUCCUAGUGUAGCGGUGAAAUGCGUAGAGAUUAGGAAGAACACCAGUGGCGAAGGCGACUUACUGGACUGUAACUGACGCUGAGGCAUGAGAGCAUGGGGAGCAAACAGGAUUAGAUACCCUGGUAGUCCAUGCUGNUAACGAUGGGUACUAGGUNUGGGUUGUGAAUAACAAUUCGUGCCGUCGCAAACGCAAUAAGUACCCCGCC
RNAcentral lists this ribosomal RNA (798 nucleotides) under uncultured bacterium. RNAcentral's name for it is "bacterial SSU rRNA". It matches the Rfam family "Bacterial small subunit ribosomal RNA", at positions 63 to 873 of the family's 1533-position model. The record is from RNAcentral.